Molecule: ribosomal RNA, 2902 nt
Filed under: Klebsiella pneumoniae
Lineage: Bacteria; Pseudomonadati; Pseudomonadota; Gammaproteobacteria; Enterobacterales; Enterobacteriaceae
Also listed under: 5 other names
Description: 23S ribosomal RNA
Rfam family: Bacterial large subunit ribosomal RNA
Source: RNAcentral
GGUUAAGCGACUAAGCGUACACGGUGGAUGCCCUGGCAGUCAGAGGCGAUGAAGGACGUGCUAAUCUGCGAAAAGCGUCGGUAAGGUGAUAUGAACCGUUAUAACCGGCGAUGUCCGAAUGGGGAAACCCAGUGCAAUUCGUUGCACUAUCGUUAACUGAAUACAUAGGUUAACGAGGCGAACCGGGGGAACUGAAACAUCUAAGUACCCCGAGGAAAAGAAAUCAACCGAGAUUCCCCCAGUAGCGGCGAGCGAACGGGGAGCAGCCCAGAGUCUGAAUCAGCUUGUGUGUUAGUGGAACGGUCUGGAAAGUCCGACGGUACAGGGUGAUAGUCCCGUACACCAAAAUGCACAGGUUGUGAACUCGAAGAGUAGGGCGGGACACGUGGUAUCCUGUCUGAAUAUGGGGGGACCAUCCUCCAAGGCUAAAUACUCCUGACUGACCGAUAGUGAACCAGUACCGUGAGGGAAAGGCGAAAAGAACCCCGGCGAGGGGAGUGAAAAAGAACCUGAAACCGUGUACGUACAAGCAGUGGGAGCACCUUCGGGUGUGACUGCGUACCUUUUGUAUAAUGGGUCAGCGACUUAUAUUCUGUAGCAAGGUUAACCGUAUAGGGGAGCCGCAGGGAAACCGAGUCUUAACUGGGCGUUAAGUUGCAGGGUAUAGACCCGAAACCCGGUGAUCUAGCCAUGGGCAGGUUGAAGGUUGGGUAACACUAACUGGAGGACCGAACCGACUAAUGUUGAAAAAUUAGCGGAUGACUUGUGGCUGGGGGUGAAAGGCCAAUCAAACCGGGAGAUAGCUGGUUCUCCCCGAAAGCUAUUUAGGUAGCGCCUCGUGAACUCAUCUUCGGGGGUAGAGCACUGUUUCGGCUAGGGGGUCAUCCCGACUUACCAACCCGAUGCAAACUACGAAUACCGAAGAAUGUUAUCACGGGAGACACACGGCGGGUGCUAACGUCCGUCGUGAAGAGGGAAACAACCCAGACCGCCAGCUAAGGUCCCAAAGUCAUGGUUAAGUGGGAAACGAUGUGGGAAGGCACAGACAGCCAGGAUGUUGGCUUAGAAGCAGCCAUCAUUUAAAGAAAGCGUAAUAGCUCACUGGUCGAGUCGGCCUGCGCGGAAGAUGUAACGGGGCUAAACCAUGCACCGAAGCUGCGGCAGCGACACUAUGUGUUGUUGGGUAGGGGAGCGUUCUGUAAGCCUGCGAAGGUGUGCUGUGAGGCAUGCUGGAGGUAUCAGAAGUGCGAAUGCUGACAUAAGUAACGAUAAAGCGGGUGAAAAGCCCGCUCGCCGGAAGACCAAGGGUUCCUGUCCAACGUUAAUCGGGGCAGGGUGAGUCGACCCCUAAGGCGAGGCCGAAAGGCGUAGUCGAUGGGAAACAGGUUAAUAUUCCUGUACUUGGUGUUACUGCGAAGGGGGGACGGAGAAGGCUAUGUUAGCCGGGCGACGGUUGUCCCGGUUUAAGCAUGUAGGCUGGUUAUCCAGGCAAAUCCGGAUAAUCAAGGCUGAGGUGUGAUGACGAGGCACUACGGUGCUGAAGUAACAAAUGCCCUGCUUCCAGGAAAAGCCUCUAAGCAUCAGGUAACAUCAAAUCGUACCCCAAACCGACACAGGUGGUCAGGUAGAGAAUACCAAGGCGCUUGAGAGAACUCGGGUGAAGGAACUAGGCAAAAUGGUGCCGUAACUUCGGGAGAAGGCACGCUGGUGUGUAGGUGAAGUCCCUGCGGAUGGAGCUGAGACCAGUCGAAGAUACCAGCUGGCUGCAACUGUUUAUUAAAAACACAGCACUGUGCAAACACGAAAGUGGACGUAUACGGUGUGACGCCUGCCCGGUGCCGGAAGGUUAAUUGAUGGGGUUAUCCGUAAGGAGAAGCUCUUGAUCGAAGCCCCGGUAAACGGCGGCCGUAACUAUAACGGUCCUAAGGUAGCGAAAUUCCUUGUCGGGUAAGUUCCGACCUGCACGAAUGGCGUAAUGAUGGCCAGGCUGUCUCCACCCGAGACUCAGUGAAAUUGAACUCGCUGUGAAGAUGCAGUGUACCCGCGGCAAGACGGAAAGACCCCGUGAACCUUUACUAUAGCUUGACACUGAACAUUGAGCCUUGAUGUGUAGGAUAGGUGGGAGGCUUUGAAGCGUGGACGCCAGUCUGCGUGGAGCCAACCUUGAAAUACCACCCUUUAAUGUUUGAUGUUCUAACGUUGGCCCCUGACCGGGGUUGCGGACAGUGUCUGGUGGGUAGUUUGACUGGGGCGGUCUCCUCCCAAAGCGUAACGGAGGAGCACGAAGGUUAGCUAAUCCUGGUCGGACAUCAGGAGGUUAGUGCAAUGGCAUAAGCUAGCUUGACUGCGAGCGUGACGGCGCGAGCAGGUGCGAAAGCAGGUCAUAGUGAUCCGGUGGUUCUGAAUGGAAGGGCCAUCGCUCAACGGAUAAAAGGUACUCCGGGGAUAACAGGCUGAUACCGCCCAAGAGUUCAUAUCGACGGCGGUGUUUGGCACCUCGAUGUCGGCUCAUCACAUCCUGGGGCUGAAGUAGGUCCCAAGGGUAUGGCUGUUCGCCAUUUAAAGUGGUACGCGAGCUGGGUUUAGAACGUCGUGAGACAGUUCGGUCCCUAUCUGCCGUGGGCGCUGGAGAAUUGAGGGGGGCUGCUCCUAGUACGAGAGGACCGGAGUGGACGCAUCACUGGUGUUCGGGUUGUCAUGCCAAUGGCACUGCCCGGUAGCUAAAUGCGGAAGAGAUAAGUGCUGAAAGCAUCUAAGCACGAAACUUGCCCCGAGAUGAGUUCUCCCUGAGACUAUAAGUCUCCUGAAGGAACGUUAAAGACGAUGACGUUGAUAGGCCGGGUGUGUAAGCGCAGCGAUGCGUUGAGCUAACCGGUACUAAUGAACCGUGAGGCUUAACCUU